Long non-coding RNA from Humulus lupulus (European hop), 638 nucleotides. RefSeq lists it as uncharacterized. The transcript has 5 exons. Lineage: Eukaryota; Viridiplantae; Streptophyta; Magnoliopsida; Rosales; Cannabaceae. The record is from RefSeq and is a predicted model, not a curated record.
CUCACAAAAAUUUCUUUUCUCUCAAUAAACACACUCUCUCUCUAGCUCUCUCUCUCCAAAACCAAAACAGUCUCCCUCUCUACUCUCCAUUGCUGCAAUUAUUUUUCUCCAUGAGCUUAGCACACUCAUUUCCCCAUUGAAGGAGGGAGAAGCUCAAGAGAACACUUGCGUAGAGGUUCAAGAGAAGCAUGUACGAGUAGGAUCUCAAGGAUUUAAUACUUUGGUAUUUAAGUGAAAGCAAGAGCACAAGGGGGAGUUUGAGGAAACUAAGAAAAACACAUCUCCAAGCUAUAACUAUCAAAGUAACCGCGAAAAACGAAAACGAAUAACGGUGGUAAAGAUCCAGUUGGGAACUAAGGACUCCAAGUAAGUGCAAAAUCAAACUGGAGUAGUGAACGUCGACGUCUGCUUGUGGAUAUGUACAUGUGGCCUAACCUACGGAGGUUUUUGAUUGAUCACCAUUUUGAAAAGAAAAAUCUGGAAGUUUGUUAUUUCUUUUGGGAUAAUUGUUUUGUUAUAACUCUAUGGAAUAAUAGUUGUAUUUUUGUUUGCUAAACUAAAAGUGUGCGCACACGAUCUUUUUAAAAGUUUCUUUAUAUGGAUUUUUGGUACAAUGAGUUAAAAGUAAAAAAGUUUAA